AAUUCUAGAGAAAAAUAAGAAAAACCAAAGACAUAAAAUGCCUUUGGUUUUUACUAUAUUUAUAUUUCUUGUUCGUAAUCGCUUUCAGGCUUUUGGUUUUCGAAUUGAAUUCCGACAACAUGAAUGUUCACUUCUUGUGCUUCAAGGGCAGUCAUAUUCAAAAGAGCCUGGCGAAUAUUAUCCUGGAUUUUUUGGGCAACAGCUGGAA
RNAcentral lists this non-coding RNA (208 nucleotides) under Bacillus methanolicus MGA3. Lineage: Bacteria; Bacillati; Bacillota; Bacilli; Caryophanales; Bacillaceae. The record is from RNAcentral.